This 334-nucleotide ribosomal RNA is filed under the name uncultured Deferribacteres bacterium. RNAcentral describes it as "bacterial SSU rRNA". It matches the Rfam family "Bacterial small subunit ribosomal RNA", at positions 28 to 351 of the family's 1533-position model. The record is from RNAcentral. Lineage: Bacteria; Pseudomonadati; Deferribacterota; Deferribacteres.
GACGAACGCUGGCGGCGUGCUUAACACAUGCAAGUCAAGGAGAACAGAAAUCUUCGGAGUUCUAAGUAAACUGGCGAACGGGUGAGUAACACGUAGGUAACCUACCCUUGAGAUAGGGAUAACUCUGCUAACGCGGAGCUAAUACCUGAUAAUAUCCUGAAAACACAUGUUUUCGGAAUCAAAGCUGCCUUCGGGUAGUACUCAUAGAUGGACCUGCGUCCCAUUAGCUUGUUGGUGAGGUAACGGCUCACCAAGGCAACGAUAGGUAGCCGGCCUGAGAGGGUGAUCGGCCACACUGGGACUGAGAUACGGCCCAGACUCCUACGGGUGGCAG